Molecule: ribosomal RNA, 497 nt
Filed under: uncultured bacterium
Lineage: Bacteria
Description: partial 16S ribosomal RNA
Rfam family: Bacterial small subunit ribosomal RNA
Source: RNAcentral
GAUGAACGCUGGCGGCGUGCCUAAUACAUGCAAGUCGAGCGAACGGACGAGAAGCUUGCUCCUCUGAUGUUAGCGGCGGACGGGUGAGUAACACGUGGAUAACCUACCUAUAAGACUGGGAUAACUUCGGGAAACCGGAGCUAAUACCGGAUAAUAUUUUGAACCGCAUGGUUCAAAAGUUAAAGACGGUCUUGCUGUCACUUAUAGAUGGAUCCGCGCUGCAUUAGCUAGUUGGUAAGGUAACGGCUUACCAAGGCAACGAUGCAUAGCCGACCUGAGAGGGUGAUCGGCCACACUGGAACUGAGACACGGCCCAGACUCCUACGGGAGGCAGCAGUAGGGAAUCUUCCGCAAUGGGCGAAAGCCUGACGGAGCAACGCCGCGUGAGUGAUGAAGGUCUUCGGAUCGUAAAACUCUGUUAUUAGGGAAGAACAAAUGUGUAAGUAACUGUGCACAUCUUGACGGUACCUAAUCAGAAAGCCACGGCUAACUACGUG